This 467-nucleotide ribosomal RNA is filed under the name uncultured bacterium. RNAcentral describes it as "partial 16S ribosomal RNA". It matches the Rfam family "Bacterial small subunit ribosomal RNA", at positions 28 to 507 of the family's 1533-position model. The record is from RNAcentral.
GAUGAACGCUGGCGGCGUGCUUAACACAUGCAAGUCGAACGGAAAGGCCCAAGCUUGCUUGGGUACUCGAGUGGCGAACGGGUGAGUAACACGUGGGUGAUCUGCCCUGCACUUCGGGAUAAGCCUGGGAAACUGGGUCUAAUACCGGAUAGGACCACAUUUUGGAUGGUGUGGUGGAAAGUUUUUCGGUGUGGGAUGAGCUCGCGGCCUAUCAGCUUGUUGGUGGGGUAAUGGCCUACCAAGGCGUCGACGGGUAGCCGGCCUGAGAGGGUGUACGGCCACAUUGGGGCUGAGAUACGGCCCAGAGUCCUACGGGAGGGAGCAGUGGGGAAUAUUGCACAAUGGGCGCAAGCCUGAUGCAGCGACGCCGCGUGGGGGAUGACGGCCUUCGGGUUGUAAACUCCUUUCGCUAGGGACGAAGCGUUUUUGUGACGGUACCUGGAGAAGAAGCACCGGCUAACUACGUG